This 296-nucleotide ribosomal RNA is filed under the name uncultured bacterium. Its description in RNAcentral is "partial 16S ribosomal RNA". It matches the Rfam family "Bacterial small subunit ribosomal RNA", at positions 775 to 1067 of the family's 1533-position model. The record is from RNAcentral.
GGAUUAGAUACCCUGGUAGUCCACGCUGUAAACGAUGAGUACUAGCUGUUGGGUUCGGUGUAAAGGGCCUAGUGGCGUAGCUAACGCGAUAAGUACUCCGCCUGGGGACUACGGCCGCAAGGCUAAAACUCAAAGGAAUUGACGGGGACCCGCACAAGCGGUGGAGCAUGUGGUUUAAUUCGAUGCAACGCGAAGAACCUUACCUGGUCUUGACAUCCUAGAAAGAAUUCAGAGAUGAAUUUGUGCCUUCGGGAAUCUAGUGACAGGUGCUGCACGGCUGUCGUCAGCUCGUGCCG